AAAGUUUCCUUCGGGAGGCGAGUAGAGUGGCGCACGGGUGAGUAACACGUAGGUAAUCUACCUUUGGAUGGGGAAUAACAACCGGAAACGGUUGCUAAUACCGCAUAAUGCAGCGGCACCUAAUGGUGACAGUUGUUAAAGCGGGGGAUCGAAAGACCUCGCGUCUGAAGAGGAGCCUGCGGCGGAUUAGCUAGUUGGUAAGGUAAUGGCUUACCAAGGCGAUGAUCCGUAACCGGCCUGAGAGGGCGGUCGGUCACACUGACACUGACAUACGGGUCAGACUCCUACGGGAGGCAGCAGUCGGGAAUUUUGGGCAAUGGGCGAAAGCCUGACCCAGCAACGCCGCGUGAAGGAUGAAAUCCCUCGGGGUGUAAACUUCGCAAGAACAGGAAGAAUAAGUAAGGGUUAAUAUCUCUUACGAUGACGGUACUGUUUGUAAGCUCCGGCUAACUCCGUGCCAGCAGCCGCGGUAAUACGGGGGGAGCAAGCGUUGUUCGGAUUUACUGGGCGUAAAGGGCGCGUAGGCGGCCACCGCAAGUCGGUUGUGAAAUCUCUGGGCUUAACCCAGAAAGGUCAACCGAUACUGCGGGGCUAGAGUGCAGAAGGGGCAACUGGAAUUCUCGGUGUAGCGGUGAAAUGCGUAGAUAUCGAGAGGAACACCUGCGGCGAAGGCGGGUUGCUGGGCUGACACUGACGCUGAAGCGCGAAAGCUAGGGGAGCGAACGGGAUUAGAUACCCCGGUAGUCCUAGCCUUAAACGAUGAAUGCUUGGUGUCUGGGGUUAUAUAGUCCCCGGGUGCCGUCGCUAACGCUUUAAGCA
This 819-nucleotide ribosomal RNA is filed under the name uncultured Actinomycetes bacterium. RNAcentral describes it as "bacterial SSU rRNA". It matches the Rfam family "Bacterial small subunit ribosomal RNA", at positions 70 to 866 of the family's 1533-position model. Lineage: Bacteria; Bacillati; Actinomycetota; Actinomycetes. The record is from RNAcentral.